This is an RNA transcript of Dioscorea cayenensis subsp. rotundata (Guinea yam), 6404 nucleotides long. RefSeq lists it as uncharacterized. NCBI's taxonomy places the organism in Eukaryota, Viridiplantae, Streptophyta, Magnoliopsida, Dioscoreales, Dioscoreaceae. The transcript is spliced from 3 exons. The record is from RefSeq and is a predicted model, not a curated record.
UUUUGUUUAUGAAUGAGAUUUAUUCAUAUAUUAAGUGUGUGUAUCUAGAAGUGUAAAGAAAGAACAACAGAAAUCAAAUUAUAUAUAGAUUUUCCCUUUAUUCUUGCAUGCUUAUGAAUAAUAUCUGGAAUUAGAAAUUGAAGGGUUCUUCUUCUUGGCGCGCACGCUAAGCUCUCUCCAAUGGCGGAGGGAAGAGGACGAGGUCAAAAGCUGGUAGUGCAAGAGGAUUUUGUAGUAGCUGAUGGGACUAGAUCGGCGAUUAUCCAUGGUGGGGAAACUGAGAUGGAGGAAGGGGAGGAUCAGGGUGUGCAGGAGGAGCAUAUCUCUUUUGAGAUAGCGAUGGAGACCUUGAAGAGGGACUCUGAUGGUAAGAGUAGUAUGGAUGAUGGGUUAGCUGCUACUGAUGUUGUGUUUCAAGGUGAUUAUGGAUCGAAAGAUCCUAGUGAAAUUGCUGGAUUGUAUCAUGGUAUGGGUUCAAAAUCAUGGACUGAUCUGUUUACUGAUAAUCGGCUCAAGGAGGAUGGGAGUUAAUUGAAGUUUGUACCACCGUCUCUGUCAAAUGACCAAAGAAUUGUUAGAUUUCACUCUGAUGAGCUGGUCCAAGAGGAGCAAAAAUGGAAGAAUGCUUUAUCAGUAUUUGUGUAUGGUUUGCAACCACGGUUAGAAAGAUUGAAUACUUUUGUUCAAGCUAGGUGGAGGAAAUAUGGAGUAUUAACUAUCUCAAGAGUGACUACUGAUCUAUUCAUUGUUCAAUUCUCUAGUGAGGAAGGAGGUGAGCAGUUGAUAAGAGAUGGCCCAUUUACAUUUGAUAAUCACCCCAUUGUGCUGAAAAAGUGGAAGCCAAGAAUGAGCUUAGAUAAUGCAGUUUGUGCUUUGUCCAUAUGGAUCCAACUCCUUGGGUUGCCAUAGGAAUUUUGGACGAUGGAUAUGCUUAGUAAGAUUGGAAGUGUGUGUGGGAGGCCAUUGUAUUGUGAUAAAUGUACUUUGUCUAAGGUGAAGAUUUGCUAGAAUUUUGGUGGAAAUGGAUUCUUCUAGUGAUUUUCCUGAUGUAAUUGAUUUGGUAGAUGAACAAGGAAUUGCUUUCCAUUAGAAAGUAAUUUAUGAAUGGAAGCUUGUUGUAUGUGUUAGUUGUAAGAGCUUUGGUCAUUUGAAACAAGAUUGUGAGAAUAGCAAAUAAGAGAAAAAGGGUAUGGAAGAUAAAGUCUAAGGAGCAAUAUAGAGGAUGAUCUGUAUAUGUUAAUUCAAGGCCUGUUGUGGUAAAGCCUGUAAAUGAAGUGCAAGGUGGGAGUUCUGGCUUGGUUUGUAGAGUUGUGGAUCAAGAGGUGGCCAAGGAAGUGUGGAAAGACAUAGUCAAAGGAAAGGCUGUUAUUUCUAAAGGGAAUAAUGAACUUCAUCAAACUCAAAAAUGUAAUAAAAAUAGAUCUGGUAAAUCAUUUGGAUAUAAUGUUGAGGGGGCCUCAAGGGGUGUUUUAAUUAAUGAGGGUAAUACACAUAAGAAGGGAAGUACUAAUGUGAGAAGUAAUGAAAUUUUUAGUUGUGGUGCUCAGAAUUGCAAUAACAGUUUUGGUGUUUUAGAAGGAUUAGGAGGAAGUGGUGAAAAUUUUACUACUAGUGUUCAAGGCAUUGAAGAGGGUAGGAAAGGCAGGGAUGCUAGCCUACCAAAGGUAUUGAAGUCUGAUUAUGUCAUGGAAUAUUAGAGGACUGAAGAGUCCUCUAAAGUAAUCAGAAAUGAAAGAUUUGAUUGCUAGAUAAAAGAUUGUGCUUAUGGGUGUUUUGGAGACUAGAGUAAGGGUGGAGAAUAUGGAUGCAGUGUGGGCUAAAUUCAAGCUAAAUCAAUGGAAUUUAGAACACAAUUAUCUGUUGUGUAAUCAAGGUAGAAUUUGGGUUUUAUAUGAUACCCUGAAGAUUAGUUUAAUGGUCAUGGAAACAGGAUCAUGAUUUAUCCAUUGCAAAGUUACUAGAGGUAAUACAGUGUUCUUCUGGACCUGUGUAUAUGGUUCAUAUAAUACUGAAGUGAGAAGGGAGUUAUGGAGAGAUUUGGCAAGGCUUGGCAGUGGGUUGAAUGUACCUUGGUUAAUACAAGGUGAUUUUAAUGCUAUUUGUAGCAAUGAGGAUAGGGAUGGAGGUGCCCCUGUUAAUGUGGGAGCUACAAAUAAAUUCCAGAGUUGGAUACUGGGAUUAGACCUGGUGGAAGUACAAUAUAGUGAUCCUAAGUUCACUUGGGCCAACUAUCAGGAGGGGGAUAGGAGAAUCUUUAGGAAAUUGGAUUGGUGCUUUGCUAAUAAGUUUUGGUAUGCACAAGGAAGGGAUCCCGCUUGCUCUGUAAUUAAUUGCAGUGUGUCUGAUCAUUGUGGCUUGUUGGUAGACAUAUACAGUCCAAGAUACCAUGUAAGAGUACCUUUCAGAUUUUUCAAUAUAUGGAGUGAACAUUAUGAUUUUUUCAAGAUAGUUGCCAGGGUUUGGAAGAUUCCUGUUAGUGGCAGUGCUAUGUUUAAGGUGUAUCACAAAUUGAAGAUGCUUAGAGCUGAAUUAAGAGGCCUUAACAGGAAAGAUUUUGAUGACAUUUUAGCAAAAGUUCUUAUGCGUAGGGAAGAAUUGGAGAAUGCCAGGUCAACAUUACAAGCAGACCCCUUUAAUCUGGAGCUUCAACAUGAGGAAAGAAUUAGACUUGGCCAAUUUUAAAGGACAUUAAAUUGGGAGGAAAGUCUGCUUAAGCAGAAAUCUAGAUAUCAGUGGAUCCAGGCAGGAGAUCAAAAUUCUAAAUUUUUCUUCAAAACUUUACAACAAAGGAAAGCCAGGAAUUACAUUUCUCGAUUGACUCUAUCAAAUGGGGACGAAUGCUUAGAUCCUUCUUCUAUUAAAGAGGCAAUAUUGGGUCAUUUUAAGGACUUUUUGGGCACUAAUAGAGCUAGAAAUGGUGUCUUUGAUAGUUUUGGUUUUGUAACAAAGGUGGUCUCAAGAGAUGAUUGGGAUAAUCUAUGUAAACCAAUGAAGGAUGAAGAGGUUAGAGAAGCACUAUGGAGUAUAAAGGAUGAUAAAUGUCCAGGGCCUGAUGGCUAUAACAGCUAUUACUAUAAGAAAGCAUGGAGCAUUGUAGGCUAGGAUAUCUGUCUAGUUAUUAAGGAUUAUUUUGUGAAUGGGGUGAUGCUGAGACAAGCAAAUUCUACAGCCAUUACUCUCAUUCCUAAGGUUGUUAGGCCAUAACCAAUCACAGAUUUCUGGCCUAUCUCCUGUUGCAAUGUCAUUUACAAAGUGAUAUCCAAGAUUCUAGCGUGGAGGUUGAAGAGUGUUUUGGGAAAGAUAAUCCAUUUGAAUCAAUUAGUAUUUAUCCCUGGUAGGCAGAUAUUAGAUAACAUAAUGUUGGCACAUGAGCUGCUUAAGGGGUAUCAUAAGCGAAAUCUAGGGUGUUGUGCUAUGAAAAUUGAUUUGCAUAAAGCAUAUGACUCUGUCUCAUGAGAUUUUGUGGAGGAGAUACUGUUGCCGUUUAGAUUUCUAGGCAAGUUCAUCAAGAUGAUAAUGAAUUCAGUGAGGUCUUGUAUGUUCUCAAUCAUGAUAAAUGGAUAGAUGGAGGGAUAUUUCCCUGGGAAAAGAGGGAUGCACUUUUAUUUAUUUUGUGCAUGGAGUACUUAACCAGAACAUUGCACAUGGGGAUGUUGUUUCAGUGAGGUUGAUCAAAAUGGCUCUACAUCAUUUCUAAGAAGUCUCAGGAUUAGUGCCCAAUUUGUAGAAAAGUGCAGUUUACUUCUCUGGGGUUAAACAUUCUGUUAGAGUACAAAUUAUGGAAAUUUUAGGAUUUUAAGAGGGAACACUACCAGUCAAGUACUUAGGUCUUCCCUUGAUUUCCACUAGACUGACAAGGGUACAAUGCCAAGAACUAGUUUCAAAAAUAACUGCUUGAAUAUCAACUUAUAUAGUCAAAACACUCUCCUAUGCUGGCAGGGUUCAACUAAUAAAAUCAGUUUUGUCUAGUUUGAAUGUCUAUUGGUGUUUUAUCUUUAUAUUACCUAUGGCAGUGGUUCAUGAAGUGGAGAAAUUAUGCAGGGAUUUUUUGUGGCAUGGUACUAGGGAAACUAGAAAAGAUGGCUUAGUUGCUUGGGAUGUGGUAUGCCAGUAGAAAGCUAUGGGAGGAUUAGGAAUUAAAUCUAUGCAUUUGUGGAAUCAGGAUCUUCGAAUAAAACACAUUUGGGAGUUGUUGCAGGAAAAACAGGCUUUAUGGGUAGUUUGGGUGACCAAGUUUAAAUUGAAAAAAGCUAAGUUUUUGGUGAAUUACAAAAAAAGUUGAUUGUAGCUGGAAUUGGAGGAAGUUACUGAAGAUGAGGGGAUUGCAAAGACGAUGUUUGAAUAUAAGUUGGGGAAUGGGAUGAAAUUCUCCUUUUGGUUUGAUCCUUGGUGUAAUGGAGCUCCAAUUGCUGAUAUUUUCCCAGAGCAUAAUUUCAGAGAGCCAUAUAUCUCUAGAGAAUUGGCUGUACAUGAGUUUUGGAGACAAGGUAGAUGGGUUUUACCAGCAAGAUGGAAUUCUAUUAUGCCUAGAAUUGCAGUUUUCUUGAAUGGUCAUUUUAUAGUUCAUGAGAAUAGAUUGGAUUCUAUUAUUUGCAGAUGGGUCAAAAAUGAAACCUUUGCUGUUGGCGGUGCCAUGGGAGCUUUAAUGUAGCCUCAAGUAAGAGUUAAUUGGGCAAAACUAGUAUGGUCAGCUAGCAAUAUUCCAAGACAUGCUUUUGUGUUUUGGUUGGCAUUGCAUAACAAAUUGCUUAUAAAAAAUAAAUUAUUUCAAUAGGAGAUUUCUAAUAAUGAUACUUGUGUACUAUGUAAUGAUGAUAAAGAGGAGAUUGGUCAUCUUUUCUUUGAGUGCUCCUUCUCUAGGGGAAUAUGGAGUAAAGUCUUGAGAGUUGUGAAUGUGGGAAGGGGACCUUUAACUUGGACGAGAGAUUUUAGUUUGUUUACCAAGAAGGCCGCUGGAAGACAUUGUUAGCAAGACAUAGAAGGGUAGCUUUGGCAACAAGUAUAUAUGUUAUCUGGAGGGCUCAGAAUGGUGUUAUUUUUCAACAGAGGAGGUGACUGGUGAAGAAAUAUUUCAGCAGAUCAGAGAGAUUAUGGUGUUAAAGUUUUCUAUCAGAUGUCCCGGAUUGGAGGGAUUGAUAAUGAAAUGUUCUGCAAAUGGUUUAGUUGAUGAUGAUUCUAACCAAUGGAAACUAAAACUAGUGGUUUUUAAUUGUUUGUUGAUAUAAAGUAAGUGGAGGCAGUUAUCAUAGUAGAGGUUUGUUGAUUGGUGGAAGGAGUGUGUGUGAUUGGUAGUGCCUGAUUUUUCAUUUUGUCUUUUGUGAUGUUUGGGUGUGAGUUUAGGAGUGCGAUGGUGGUAAUGGGCCGGGGUGGACCCUUUUGAGGGUUGGUCUUUUACUGUUUUGUAAAUGUUGAGCUUAAUAAAUAUAUUUGGUUUGAAUUGACAAAAAAAAAUCUGGAAUUGAUUUUGUCUAACUUCUUGAUGAAUAGGUUGGGGUGCUUACCUUUUGGCUUUAGAAAAUGCAGACAGUCUAAUUAUAUCCCAAACAAAUAAUAUAGAGCUGGAUAGAUAAUAUUUUUAGAAGUGUUAACGAUCAUGUACGACUUGAUGGAACUGUUGUUUGUAUUAGUUUAGGACAUUCUGUCCAUUUAAUGCUUUUCCAUGCUUGUUUUUGCUAUACUAGAAUGACACUGAUGACUGACCACAUUUAAAGCUAUGGUUUCUGAAUGGUUUCUUUUGAUACUUGAAUUUCCAAUACACCUUACUGUUUAAAUUUAAAUAUAAGCUUGGCUAAAGUACACUAGAACCUCUUCUUUAUUAGUCCGGGAUUAUUAUUGGGUAGGCAUUGGUGCAUAUGUUGCAAACAGAUUAUAUUCCAAUGUUGUCACUUUAUAUCUUGAAGAAAAUUUUACCACAACGUUUCUCUCUUGAUCUUUUUAUAAUAGACAGGAUAAUGUACUUUGUGCACUACAUUAACCUGUAACGGCUUUGAUAAAAUGUUGUCUUACGCUAUGUUCUUCUUUUCUGGGACAGGUAACUUCUUAAAUUUUGCAAAAUUGAAGAUUUGAUAUGACUUUCACUUCUAUGGGACAUUGUUUAGAAGAUUGAGCCGAAGGUACACAUUUUCAUGCUUACAGUAUGAGGACAUUUUGUUCAUGCAGAAUGACUGAAAACGAAUACUUAGGUCAAAGAAAUGGUAUUCUUGAUCAGUCAUCGGUAAUGCUUUCUAAAUAUGGUUGUCGAAUACACAUGAACUGCAAGCAAUCAAGGAGUUAAUGGCAAGCUAAUGGGAGCGGUGAUACCAAGAUGGUCUCAGUGCAUUCUAGUUAGCAGAUCUCUGUUUCAUUUUGUUCAUAGAGGGGAUAGACAAUACUAUUUUGUAAUGAAUCUAUACAUUUCUUAUUAU